RNAcentral lists this ribosomal RNA (252 nucleotides) under uncultured bacterium. Its description in RNAcentral is "partial 16S ribosomal RNA". It matches the Rfam family "Bacterial small subunit ribosomal RNA", at positions 524 to 776 of the family's 1533-position model. The record is from RNAcentral.
UACGGGGGGGCAAGCGUUGUUCGGAAUUACUGGGCGUAAAGGGCUCGUAGGCGGCCAACUAAGUCAGACGUGAAAUCCCUCGGCUUAACCGGGGAACUGCGUCUGAUACUGGAUGGCUUGAGGUUGGGAGAGGGAUGCGGAAUUCCAGGUGUAGCGGUGAAAUGCGUAGAUAUCUGGAGGAACACCGGUGGCGAAGGCGGCAUCCUGGACCAAUUCUGACGCUGAGGAGCGAAAGCCAGGGGAGCAAACGGG